UUUAAGUGCAAUUGUAGUUUUUUUUGUGUCCGACGUUUAACUGUUUAUCUUAUUUGAAAUUCUUUUAGGCAAAAUUUGCUAGUAUUUUUGUUGUUAUUAGAUGAUAAGACAUAAAUAGUACUUUAUGUAUAACUUAUUUUUUAAAAUUUUUUUAAAUAAUACGGACGAUUAAAUAUUAGACACGGAAACCCGCAACUGCA
Molecule: microRNA precursor, 200 nt
Filed under: Oryza glumipatula
Lineage: Eukaryota; Viridiplantae; Streptophyta; Magnoliopsida; Poales; Poaceae
Description: MIR812 microRNA precursor family
Rfam family: MIR812 microRNA precursor family
Source: Rfam by way of RNAcentral